RNAcentral lists this ribosomal RNA (199 nucleotides) under uncultured Actinomycetales bacterium. RNAcentral's name for it is "partial 16S ribosomal RNA". It matches the Rfam family "Bacterial small subunit ribosomal RNA", at positions 131 to 334 of the family's 1533-position model. The record is from RNAcentral. Lineage: Bacteria; Bacillati; Actinomycetota; Actinomycetes; Actinomycetales.
CUGCACUUCGGGAUAAGCCUGGGAAACUGGGUCUAAUACCGGAUAGGACGAUGGUUUGGAUGCCAUUGUGGAAAGUUUUUCGGUGUAGGAUGAGCUCGCGGCCUAUCAGCUUGUUGGUGGGGUAAUGGCCUACCAAGGCGGCGACGGGUAGCCGGCCUGAGAGGGUGGACGGCCACAUUGGGACUGAGAUACGGCCCAG